GACGAACGCUGGCGGCGUGCUUAACACAUGCAAGUCGAGCGGUAACGCUCCUUCGGGUUUACACGAGGGGCGGCCGGGGGCGUAAGACUUGAGUAAUCUGCCCUUCCCUUUGGGAUGAGCACCGGAAACGGUGGCUAAUACCGAUAACGCCCCAUCUUCGCAACGGGUGCUGGUGGAAGGUCUUUUCGCUGUGGGCUGUGCUCGCGGCCUAUCAGCUUUUUGGUGGGUUAAGGGCAUACCAAGGCCUCGACGGGUAGCCGGUCUCAGAGGGUGAGCGGCGAGACCGGGACCGAGACACGGCCGAGAGUCCUACGGGGGGAAGCAGUGGGGAAGAUUGGACAAUGGGCGAAAGCCUGAUCCAGCAACGCCGAGGGAGGGAGGGCGGCAUUGGCGUUGUAAAGCGAUGGCAGUACCGACGAAGCGCCCUGUCGGGUGGUGACGGUAGCUACAGAAGAAGGACCGGCUAACUACGUG
This 474-nucleotide ribosomal RNA is filed under the name uncultured bacterium. RNAcentral's name for it is "partial 16S ribosomal RNA". It matches the Rfam family "Bacterial small subunit ribosomal RNA", at positions 28 to 507 of the family's 1533-position model. The record is from RNAcentral.